Molecule: non-coding RNA, 72 nt
Organism: Podarcis lilfordi (Lilford's wall lizard)
Lineage: Eukaryota; Metazoa; Chordata; Lepidosauria; Squamata; Lacertidae
Source: the annotation of a GenBank genome assembly
AGGGCUGUAGCUCAGGAGCAGAGCACAUGUUUUGCAUGCAGAAGGUUGCAGGUUCAAACCCUGGCAUCUCUA